RNAcentral lists this ribosomal RNA (524 nucleotides) under uncultured bacterium. RNAcentral's name for it is "partial 16S ribosomal RNA". It matches the Rfam family "Bacterial small subunit ribosomal RNA", at positions 28 to 523 of the family's 1533-position model. The record is from RNAcentral.
GACGAACGCUGGCGGCGUGCCUAAUACAUGCAAGUCGAGCGCAGGAAGCCGUCUGAACCCUUCGGGGGGACGACGGUGGAAUGAGCGGCGGACGGGUGAGUAACACGUAAAGAACCUGCCCAUAGGUUUGGGAUAACCACGAGAAAUCGGGGCUAAUACCGGAUGUGUCAUCGGACCGCAUGGUCCGCUGAUGAAAGGCGCUCCGGCGUCGCCCAUGGAUGGCUUUGCGGUGCAUUAGCUAGUUGGUGGGGUAACGGCCCACCAAGGCGACGAUGAGUAGCCGAGCUGAGAGGGUGGACGGCCACACUGGGACUGAGACACGGCACAGACUCCUACGGGAGGCAGCAGUAGGGAAUCUUCCACAAUGGACGAAAGUCUGAUGGAGCAACGCCGCGUGAACGAUGAAGGCUUUCGGGUCGUAAAGUUCUGUUGUAAGGGAAGAACAAGUGCCGCAGGCAAUGGCGGCACCUUGACGGUACCUUGCGAGAAAGCCACGGCUAACUACGUGCCAGCCGCCGCAGUAA